AAGAUUAAGCCAUGCAUGCGAAAGACAAUUCGAGGAGACUCUCACAAAAUCUGCGAACGGCUCCGUAUAUCUGUUAAAACCCGUUGCCCGUGGGAAAGGUUGGUAAGCGGAUAUCGCUCGGCAAUUCUGUCAGUAAUACGUGUACGUGCAGCGUGUCCAACAUUCAGCUUAACCGUGGCCCGACGGCCCGCUGUAGCAGGAUGGACGGACUCCGGAACGCCCAGCUCUACCAAGAGUUAGGAAACCGCCGAGAAGUGAACCAAGCCCUAUGGGAACCUGGAGGCAACGGUUUUCAGACCUAUCAACUUGAAGCCUGUGGAGGGUACAGGCCUGGUUUUAACGGGUACAGAGGAUCAGGGUUCGGUCCUGGAGAGGUAGCCUGAGAGAUCGCUACUACUUCUAAGGAAGGCAGCAGGCGCGCAACGUUCCCAAUGGAGGCAUAGGCCCCCUGAGGACGUGACGGGACAUACCAAUACCCAGCCCGAAGGGCUUGGGUAAUCGGAAUGGGGGGAACCUAAACCCCACGACCGAGUAACAAUUGGAGGACAAGUCUGGUGCCAGCACCCGCGGUAAUUCCAGCUCCAAUAGCAUCUAAUUAAGUUGUUGCAGUUAAAACGCUCGUAGUUCGAAUCCGGUGCAAAGCGCGCGGCUGCUCUGGGGAACAGGUGUGAUGGCUCUGCCGUUGCCCGCCUCUCCUUAAACGAGUGCGCUUGCUCCGAUAAUCGCUCCCGGCCCGGCAACGUAUAUCGGCCGCCUAAUAGGCCCGGGGCACUUUACCUUGAGGAAAUGCGAGAGCUCAAAUCAGGUCAACUAUGGACCCGCUGUGAAGCCUGUAGCAAGGAACAAUACAAUAGGCCUCUGAGGCUAUGGUACGCUGCAGAGAUAUGGUCAAUAGGGGGGAUCGGGGUCGGCCAGAUGGCAGGGGUAGGGGUGAAAUCCGAUGAUCCUUGCCAGCUGAACUAGAGCGAAAGCAGCCGACAAGUACCCUUUCUUUGAUCAAGAACGAAAGUCUGGGGAUCGAAGAUGAUCAGAUACCAUCGUAGUCCAGACCCUAAAUGCUGCCGACCAUGGAUGGGCCUAAGUCCAUCCCGACCCGGCCCGCACCUUGUGAGAAAUCAUCAAGUGUUUGGGCUCCGGGGGGAGUAUGGUCGCAAGACUGAAACUUAAAGGAAUUGACGGAAGAGCACACAAGGAGUGGAGCCUGCGGCUUAAUUUGACUCAACACGGGAAAACUCACAUUGGCAAGAGAGGGGUAAGAUGCCCGGCCCCGAUGGCAAGGCAAGAUUCCCUCAGUGGUGGUGCAUGGUCGUUCUUAGUUCGUGGAGUGAUUUGUCUGGUCUAUUCCGCUAACGAGCAAGAUCCCGACUUCUGGUUGUUGCCGUCUAUGUGCGCGCUGGUGAUGCAUCUGGGGGGCCAAUCGGGCUCGGUCCUGCACCACAGGUACUUUGAACCACGCACCUGGUUCCCCCAGAACUGCCACGCAACAGGGGCAAUCCGAGUGGGCACGCUGAGUGCGCUACUCGUUAAACUCUUCUUACAUACGUUGUGGUCUUCGGACCAAACCCGGGCCUGCAGGGCAGCCCUACUUUCAAGUAGGUGCAACGGGUCAAUAACAGGUCAGUGAUGCCCUUAGAUGCCUUUGGCUGCACGCGCGCUACAAUGGGGAAAGCAACGGGUUACGGCGUCUAACGACGUCUUUGGAGCCUUUCACGAGGCACUAGGUCGUGAACCCGGCCAAUAUUCCUCUUAACUGGGACUGCACCAAGUAUCUUGGUACGCGCGAACGUGGAAUUUCUAGUACCCGCCGUUCAUCAGACGGUGUGGAUUCUGUCCCUGCUCUUUGUACACACCGCCCGUCGCUCCUACCGAUUGAGCUAAUGGGUGAGCUAGGAGGACGCGAAUACUGUUCGGUCUUUCAAGCCACACUUAACGAGGUGGCCGGGCUAUUCAAUCAACACGGGGCAACCUGGAAACCGCCAAUCCCUGCGAACCCUUUGGCUUAGAGGAAGGAGAAGUCGUAACAAGGUAUCCUAGGUGACCUG
This 2042-nucleotide ribosomal RNA is filed under the name Arcyria denudata. RNAcentral describes it as "small subunit ribosomal RNA". It matches the Rfam family "Eukaryotic small subunit ribosomal RNA". The record is from RNAcentral. Lineage: Eukaryota; Evosea; Eumycetozoa; Trichiida; Trichiidae.